This 367-nucleotide long non-coding RNA is filed under the name Citrus maxima (pomelo). RNAcentral describes it as "long non-coding RNA (CMAX_LNC001082)". The record is from RNAcentral. Lineage: Eukaryota; Viridiplantae; Streptophyta; Magnoliopsida; Sapindales; Rutaceae.
GUCUUUGUCAUCUUGCUCAUCACAUCAACUUCGUCACUUUGCGUGGCUGCCCGACCCGGAGCAUCAGCUGAGCUCAACAACGACGACAAGCUCUCUGAAGGCAAAACCACCAACCAAAACACCAAGGGUGGAAACGGGUAUGACGCCGGGAUGGAUGGAUUCUUUGGACCCGGAUCAGGUAUACCCGGGUUCGGAAAUGGGAUAGUAGGUGGCGGGUAUGGAGCCGGGUACGGAGGUCCGAAUGGAGGGUACUCAAGAGGUGGUGUAAUUAGGCCUAGUGUGGUGUGUAAGGAGAGAGGUCCUUGUUACAUGAAGAAACUGACGUGUCCGAAAAAGUGCUUCACCUCUUACAGCCGUUCAGGGAAGG